Molecule: long non-coding RNA, 662 nt
Organism: Heterocephalus glaber (naked mole-rat)
Lineage: Eukaryota; Metazoa; Chordata; Mammalia; Rodentia; Bathyergidae
Source: Ensembl
CAAGAUGUGAGGAGUUUUCCCCUGCUAUGCCCCUCUGCCAUGCUAUUCUUGCCCUGGAACCAGUUGAUCAUGAACUGUAACUGUGAGCCAAAAUAAACCUGUCAUGUAUGUUGAAGAUGUUGGAUAUUGUGUCUCAGCAAUGAGGAAAGUACCAAGACAAGCCUCAAAGAUGAGAAAUUCAGGACUGUAGCCGUUGGUUUAUCAGGAACGCUGAGCGUAGUAAACUCUUGAGGAAAGGAACUCAAGUGGAUGAAUUAUAUUGCUCCUCAUGGAAAAGAUGAAAAACUUCUUCCUGGCUAUCCUGGCUACUGGUUAUCUCUCAUAUGUUUUGGGUAAGCAAGUAUUUAAGACUAUUUCAUGCCACCAUUAUGAAGAAGAAAAUGAACAGCAGCAACACAUAUGCUCCAUACGAGUCAGCCCAUUGUGCGCCUCUAACAACGUCACAUACUCUAAUUCCUGCGUGUACUGCUUCGCCAAUAUAGCAUUGAAUCAUACUCUUACAAUUCAACAUGGAGGAAUGUGCAGCAAACCCCCCAAAUCUUGAAUAUUUCUUCAUUUAUCACGAGUGAGACCAUUUGAACUAAGCAUCGUCUUUCCUUCAUAAAGCAGAAUUUAUUGUAUUGUCUUAUUUUUUCUAAUCAAUAAAUAUUACCCUAUGGAAA